CCCGGCCCGCCCCCCUGGCACCAGACUCGCUCCAGCCCGGGGCAAAGCCGAGGGAGGCCCCUUCUGCACCCCCCUCUGCUUGUGCCUGUCUUCAGGGGCCUCGUGGUGCCCACCUCCAAGGGCCCCGCUGUCCGUCCCUCGUCCCCCCAUCCCCGCUGCCUCCCCUCCAUCACCCGCACGGGGCCCCCUGCCCCGCGCACACCCGGACAUUGAUUGCGCUCAGCGGCUGGGGACAGCGCAGGGACGUGCUGGGGUGAAGCUGUCAGGUUCUGCCCAUGGGGCUGCCCCGGUCCUGGGCCAGGCAGUGCCCACGUGCCCCCCACCCCUGACACCCCCAGCCCAGCACCCCGCAGCUGGAGACGUCCUGGCACAAGGGACGUGGAGCAAAGAGGGGUGGCUGCUGCUGGGAGCCUCAUCCUUGGGCUCCUGUGGUGCGAUGGGGCGAGCAGGCUCAGUGUGUGUGCGUGUGCUUGUGUGCACGUGUGUGAGCAUGCGUGUGCACGUGUGUGUGAGCGUGUGUGUGAGUGUGUGCAGGUGUGCAGGGGGCUGCUGGGGCAGCGCCCCCCGCGCAGAGAGCCGUGCCUCUCGCCAGCGCUGCUGCUCAGGACCCAAGUCCUGCCUCGGUCCCCGCUCUCUGCCAGGACAUUGGGGGCCCCCCCCGUCAGGACUGUGUCCCUGUUGGGCUCUGCCCGGUGGGGCUGGGCACAAGCACCUCUUGGAGCCGGCGCUGCUGGAUUUUCCUGUGGGUCUCAUGCUUCCAGUCGCCUUCUCACCAGGAGUGGCUGUGCCGCAGCACCCGCGGAGCCCCUGCAGCCCUGCUCAGCCCCCGGGGGGGGUGCAGGACCGAGUGUGGGGCAGAGCUGAGGCUGCGAUGCUGGGGUGGCAGGGGAAGAGGCGUCCCCAGCCCUGGGACCCCCCAGGUGCAGCUUUGGCAGGUUUUUAUGGCAUUCACGGUCCCUCCUCGGGCGUCUCUGGGGUUUGUUGUUUGGGAUACGUUUCUAAUUAAACCUGGAAAUGAGCAAGGCCCCGGCUGUUCGUGCUGCCCCCAGGCACAGAGCGGGUGCCAGGGCAGCUUCUCCAUCACUGCCAGCUCCCGGCCGGUCGCACCUCGGUGGCCGCACCCUGCAGCUGCCCGUGGGCACGCGUCGCCUCCGAGCCCCGGGGUGUGCUUCCAGGGCUGGGCUGCGGGGGGCUGGGUCCUGCGGGGCUGAGCUGGGAGAUAAAAAUGGCUUUUGGCUGGGAUUGGCAAAGGCACCAGGAGCCCUGCUGGAGCCCAGGGGCUGCGGGAGGCACACAAGGCUUUCGGAGCCAGGGGCAGAGCAGGGCUGCUGGGGGGUCGGGUCCCCCACGGCCACGGAGCCCCGGCCCCGGUGGGCCUCGGGCUGCAAACCCCGGGCACGGCGGGGCCGCAGCGGGCUCCAGGCCAUGCUCCGGGCUGGCUCCAGCACCGACGUCCACGGGGCCCCACCGGUUGCCCCCCGCUCGCUAUGCCCAGAGCUGGAGCUGGCAGCCCCAGGGGAGUGGGGUCACCCCUCAGGGGACGUCCUCCGGCUGAGGGGCCGGCGGGGAGCUGGGUGAGUCAAUGAAUAAAGUCAGUGCCUAAAUAAAGCCUGGUAAUGAAUGUGUAAUUUUCCAUUGAUAGUCGAAUAUCUACAGGGACGCAGCGCUUCCAUCUCGGCUGCUAUUUUUUGUCAUGUAGUAAUGCGUCUGCAAAGAUAAUUGCACUGUUCCCUCAAUAGCAGAGGCAGGAAAAGGCAGCGAGAGCCCCUGCUCGCUUCUCUGCUGCGAGGAACAAGCCUGCGCCGCGCACCAGCUGCCGCCGCUCCGCACCCAGCCCUUCGGCUGCCAGAGAGGCUGCGAGGAGGCACCGGCAGGGCUGGCACAGUGGUUUUGGGGGUAUUUACCCACCUGGAUUGAGGUUGUCCAGGCCGAUCACUGCACGGCCCCCCUGAGCCCCCCAGCCCCGGCACAGAGGCAGGACCCUGCGGUGUGGGGAGGUGGGCUGGGAGCCACGCAGCGGCAGCGCUCUUGAAACAAAAAACAAUUAAAUCUGAGGCCUUUAUUGAGUUAC
Molecule: long non-coding RNA, 2071 nt
Filed under: Anas zonorhyncha (Eastern spot-billed duck)
Lineage: Eukaryota; Metazoa; Chordata; Aves; Anseriformes; Anatidae
Description: lncRNA (ENSAZOG00000018470.1)
Source: RNAcentral